AGAGUUAAACAGUACGUGAAAUUGUUGAAAGGGAAACGAUUGAAGUCAAUCGUACUUCGGGCAAUCAGCCUUUUGGGUGUGAUUAUGUGGAGCGUGAGAAGUUAAUCACCCUCAUCUUUUCAUAUUCGUGCACUUUGGGUGUACUUGCUCGUGUGUGGGUUAACAUCAAUUUUGAUUAUCAUAAAAUGAUUGGAGGAAUGUAGCUUCGAUCUCGUAUUGAAGUGUUAUAGCCUUUGGUAGAUGUGAUGAUCGAGAUUGAGGAUUGCAACGGAUACCUCUCGGGGCUACCUGUCUGGCCUCUGAUGAUUGCUAUGGUGCCGAAAGCUUGCUUACGGUCAUCAAAGUUGAUUGUCAAAAGGUUAGAACAGGUUAAAUUCGUUAAGGAUGUUGACAUAAUGGCUUUAAACGACC
RNAcentral lists this ribosomal RNA (411 nucleotides) under Rhizophagus irregularis. RNAcentral's name for it is "partial large subunit ribosomal RNA". Lineage: Eukaryota; Fungi; Glomeromycota; Glomeromycetes; Glomerales; Glomeraceae. The record is from RNAcentral.